This is a long non-coding RNA of Parus major (Great Tit), 4218 nucleotides long. RefSeq lists it as uncharacterized. The record is from RefSeq and is a predicted model, not a curated record. NCBI's taxonomy places the organism in Eukaryota, Metazoa, Chordata, Aves, Passeriformes, Paridae. The transcript is spliced from 2 exons.
GGUCGGAAAGAGGCGGGCGGGGGGCGCGCCCGGGCGCCGGGGCAGCGAGCGGGAUGUAGCGCUGGGAUGCUGCGCUGGGAUCCGGCCCCGGUCGGCUCGGAGGAGCCGGACAGUGUCCAGGGGAGCGUCAGGCGCCUCAUGUCGUCCUCACCCGCAAGGCCGCAGUGUGAGGAAACAGCCCGGAAAACAGGUGUGGGGCAGGACAGGGGACAGCCCGCGUCACGCCGGCCGCAGGGAUCACGCCACAGCCACACAGGUCGGAGGGGACAUCCCACAGCCGCUUGCACUGCCAGAUGGAGAAGGUGCUGCUGAAAUGUGCCCUCUGUACGUGCGAGCUGCCGCAGUAAUUGCGUGUAUUUCUGAAAUAUAACCAUAUAAAAAUAGCGUAUUCUCAUAUUUCAUUGCUCUUCCUCGGAAAUGCUCUAGCAAACAUGAAGAAAUACGCGAAAUGCUUGCAAAGCAAUAGUGGGAAGGUUGUGAGAAGAGUAACCGAGUGUGUAGCAAAUUAAACCAUUUUUUUUUUGUCCCCUGACUGAAAAGCUCGUUCAGGCUGGGAGCUGGAAAGCAGCGUGGGCAGCAAGGCGAGGGAGGGGAUUGUGCCCCUCUGCUGUGCUUGGGGAGAGCACACCUGCAGGGCUGCGUCGGCUCUGCGGCUCCCAUCAUCAGAGGGAACUGCUGGAGCGAGCCCAGAGGAGGGCCGUGAACUUGCUCAGAGGGCUGGAGCGCCUCUCCUGUGAAGACAGGCUGAGAGGAUUGGGAUUUUUCAGCCUGGAGAAGGUCCUGGACCUUCUGGUCCUGGACCUGAAGAAGGACCUAGAUCUUACUUCAGCCAUUCAGUACCUGAAAGGAGCUGCAAGAGAGCUGCAGAGGGAUUUUUUACAAGGGCCUGUAGCAAUAGAACAAGGGGACAUGGCUUUCAACUGAAAGAGGGAAGGUUUAUAUCAGACACUAGGAAGAAAUUCUUUACUUUGGGCGUGGUGAGACACUGGCACAAGUUCCCCAGAGAAGCUGUGGGUUCCCCAUCCCUGGAAUUGUUCAAGGCCAUGUUUGACGGGACUCAGUAACCUGAUCUAGAGGAAGGUGUCCAUGCCUGUGGCAGAGGUGCUGGAGCUAGAACCUCUUCUUCUAUGGUUCUGUAAGUCAGCUGUCCUGGCCAUGCUCCCUCCCAGCUUUUUGUGCACUUCCUCUCUGGCAGAGCAUGAGACACUGAAAAGUCCUUGACUAAGGGUAAGCUUACUACUUAGCAACAACCAAAACAUCAGAGUAUUUUCUCAUGCUGUAUCCAAAACAGAGCAUUGUACCAACUACUUUAAAAAAAAAAAAAUUAACUCUAUGCCAGCCAAAGCCAGGACAUCAUGGCAGAAGAGUUGGAACUAGGUGAUCUUCAAAGUCAUUUUCAACCCAAACCAUUCCAUGAUUCUGUGAUUUUCUGAUCAGCACUCAAACACAUGAUCAAGCCAAAGAGUUUAGGGGCCAUUAAUAAAUAAGUACUUCAAGCUAGCUAGCAUGAAUAUUAAUAUUGAUGAUAAAGCCUGGUGCUCAAGGGAACAUAGUUUAAAAAAAAAAAAAAAAAGAAAGAGAGUGAUCUGGUUAGGAAAAAAAUAUUUUAAGAAGUUGUGUAUUUGCUUAGUAGUCCAUGAUGAGAUUUGUGUCCUGUCAAACCCCAGCCUGAGAGACAAAGGAUUUUAGAGUUUGAGUUGUCCCAACCCCUUCGGAACUGAAUCUGAACAGCCUGAUAAAUGUUUUAGUUUAAUUCCUCCAUGAUACCAUUUUAUUUAUGGAUGUGUGUGGACAAACUUGGAUUUAUUUCUGCUGAUGAAGACUAGACCUGGAUUUCAUGUCCCUCAUGCAGAGCAGAGGUGCAGUUAUAGCAGAAUAUAGAAAUGGUUGCAUUAUUCCUACAUACCAUUUAUAGCUGACCGCAUCUUUGUGCUUUAUGCAUGAGCCGAAGCUCAUACACUCCCAGGAUCUGCAUUCCUUCAGUACAUCUCAGGAAACUACAAAAAUGCAGUCUGCUUGACUCUGAAAUAAUUAAUCCUCAAAAAUUUAGUAAUCAUGUAACAUUUUGGCUUCUGGAGAGCUUCGGUCAAGGCUAGAAUUUUAAAAGAUUUAAUGCCACAUCAGAUUCAAGGUGCUCAACAUUCAGGUGGCCAGCACCCAAAAAGUGAUGGGCUGAUGGCACAGGCAGCAGCUUUAUAUCUCAGUACAACAGUGCUGGCAAAAGAAGGGCUGGUUCAAGUUUGUGGAAUGAAUUCCUGUGGGAGCAACUAAUUAAUGCUGUCCCACAUAGAAUGAAAAAGACAGGAUAAAAGGGCUGCAUGUGACACGAUGGUCACACUUCUUAGUUAUACCAGAAGUGUUUUUUACACUGCUGUGAAAGGUGUAUCUUCAGUUUCUGGGCAGAAUAUCCCAUUCUCUAAUUCUCAAAUUAGUCUCUAAUUUGGGGAAGAAUAUUUUCGUUGGUUGGAUUUUAUUUUAGACAAAUGGUUACCACUCAGCAUAACACAAAUAACAAAAAGCAUAUUGUGGUAAAAGCUGUUCCUUCCACCCUUGAGGAACACUUCAUAAACUGUCUUGAAGAUGGUGGUCUGAAGAUUUGUAAAGUCAAGAACAGCUGAGAGUUAAGUCAAGAAGGUAUUUGAGGUAAAUUGAGGCUUUUAAAAGCUUUGAGAACUCAUGAGUGGUUGUACUGUAAGCACAGAAGGAAGAUGGCAGAACCAUAUCCAUUUAAAACAGCGUUUUUAGUGGUGUAAGGCUAGAACAUGAGUAACUGGCUGUGAGCUGGGGGCUGCCACUUCAGGUAAUGUGAACAGGUAGGUACAUUGCACUAAAAAAUUACUCUUUUCACAGUUUCUUUUUGUAUAGGGUUAGUGUGCCAAGGUUUUGGCACAGGAAGCCCACAGGGGUGGCUUCUGCGAGAGGCUGCCAGAAGCUUCCCACACGUCCAAGGGAACCAAUGCCAUAAUCCUGUUUACAGAAGUAACUGUGUGACUGCAGCUAGAAAAAAACAGGAGUCUGGCAGCAGUGUUUGCAGAAAAAAUAUUUCCUGUAGCUUGGAAUGAGUAAACAGUAAUACUUGGAGGAGUGCUUUAAAUCAGUCGUCGUGAAAAUUAGUCUUAAGCCAGUGAACAGAAAAGUUUGGUUUAAAAUUAUUUUUUUAUAGUAUAUUACAGUUGUGUCUUAAAGACUGAUUUUUCACUGUUUGGUAACCAUUAAAAUGUACUGAUUAUGGUCUUCAUGCAUAGUUUACCAUUUAUUUUUGAUAGCAAAGAGGAUAUGGUAUAAUUACAUACAUCUGAGACAUUUCAGACUUAAACAUAACAUCUUAAUUUGUACAUACAUUUCACUAUUUGGGAAAAUGAGGACUGUUGAAUUAAUUUUUAUUCUUCCCCCACCCAGGUAGUUAUUACACUUUUACAUGUGCCUCAGUAUAUGAUACAGUUCUUACCAAACUCCUAGUAGUGGAUAAAUACGGGAAUUGAAAGAAAAUAAUGAGGAAAAAAAAAAAAGCCUCUUUAUAGUUGCUUUUAGUUGAAUAGGAUUACAGCAAAUGUAUUUGGUCCUUCUUCUUAAGGAGAUUGUCUAAAUAUGUUUUGCAUUGAAAAAGAUUUUAUUUAAAAAAUUGAAGUAUACUUGCAGGAAGAGAACGUGAUUGGUUCAUCAGUUGUUCUAGUGUGUAGAACUAGUAGAGAUCAUCCUGUAAUCUCCACCUCUUUUUUAUUUAUGGAUGGAAAUAAUGAAAAAAAACCAAAACAAAACAGCAGAGGUAAUCCAUUUAAGCAAGCUGGUUGAAUGAACAGAAAUGAAGGGAAUACUGCCACCUUGCUUGCAGAAAAAGAUGCUUGUCAGAAAGUGGUUCAACGCUUCAGCAAAUCAAGAUUGAUCCUUCAGCAGCUUGAACAGAACAUCCAUACUGCCUAAUAAUGCUACUUCUGUAGUAUUAGUAUUAUUACUUUGUUUUGCUAAGCAAACACGUUUAAAAUUAAAUUUCAAAUCAAUCAACUUGAUUGAUUAUAUUUUUAUUAUUUUAUUUUAGAAACCCAGAGAAGCUACCAGGGAAGAACCAUUUUUUUGCCUUACAUUUAAACCAGGCACAAAAUCAGAAUCUUCCAGAAACCAGGUACCUCUCUUCAUGUGGAAGGAGGCUGUGUGUGAUUGGGGGAGCCUGUCUUUUUACAAGGCAAGAAAAAAAAUAUCAUUAAAAUAUAUAAUAUUUGA